GAGGGUAUAACUCGGUGUAGAGUGUAUGCUUAGCAUGAAUGAGGCCCUGGGUUCAAUCCCCAGUACCUCCA
RNAcentral lists this transfer RNA (71 nucleotides) under Camelus bactrianus (Bactrian camel). It matches the Rfam family "tRNA". From Rfam's summary of the family: Transfer RNA (tRNA) molecules are approximately 80 nucleotides in length. Their secondary structure includes four short double-helical elements and three loops (D, anti-codon, and T loops). Further hydrogen bonds mediate the characteristic L-shaped molecular structure. tRNAs have two regions of fundamental functional importance: the anti-codon, which is responsible for specific mRNA codon recognition, and the 3' end, to which the tRNAs corresponding amino acid is attached (by aminoacyl-tRNA synthetases). tRNAs cope with the degeneracy of the genetic code in two manners: having more than one tRNA (with a specific anti-codon) for a particular amino acid; and 'wobble' base-pairing, i.e. permitting non-standard base-pairing at the 3rd anti-codon position. The record is from Rfam by way of RNAcentral. Lineage: Eukaryota; Metazoa; Chordata; Mammalia; Artiodactyla; Camelidae. RNAcentral also lists the same sequence under 1 other name.